Molecule: transfer RNA, 73 nt
Filed under: Bos taurus (domestic cattle)
Lineage: Eukaryota; Metazoa; Chordata; Mammalia; Artiodactyla; Bovidae
Also listed under: 1 other name
Rfam family: tRNA
About the family: Transfer RNA (tRNA) molecules are approximately 80 nucleotides in length. Their secondary structure includes four short double-helical elements and three loops (D, anti-codon, and T loops). Further hydrogen bonds mediate the characteristic L-shaped molecular structure. tRNAs have two regions of fundamental functional importance: the anti-codon, which is responsible for specific mRNA codon recognition, and the 3' end, to which the tRNAs corresponding amino acid is attached (by aminoacyl-tRNA synthetases). tRNAs cope with the degeneracy of the genetic code in two manners: having more than one tRNA (with a specific anti-codon) for a particular amino acid; and 'wobble' base-pairing, i.e. permitting non-standard base-pairing at the 3rd anti-codon position.
Source: Rfam by way of RNAcentral
UCCCUGGUAGUCAAGUGGUUAAGACUCCAUGCUUCCAAUGCAGAGGGCGUGGGUUCAAUACCUGGUCAGGGAA